AACAAACGGGCCCUAACCAAAGUCUCCACAUCUCAAUUGUCAAACUCAGUAAAGCGCACUUGUGUGUUUUCAUCUGAAAAGUACACGAAGGCAAAGCCUUCUUCUUCCUAAUCCUUGUUUGGCAUGUCCUUGUUAUAACAGAAACAGCUUCUAAACAAAGCAGACAAAGCACAAUCACCAAAUAACAAUUGGGAAAUAAAGGAAAUAAAAAACACACUCAAACUCAAAGGGCAAUCCAACUGUGACCUCGUUCGAGCCAGGUGAAAACAUUGUCUGAAAAUUAGGGUUUUAGGUUUUGGAUUGAAGAUCAUGUAUUCUGUCAUCUGGGUUUUGCUGGAGAAUUCAAGGUUUCAAUGAGGAUCUGGAUUUGGUGAGUUUUAGCAAGUGGAGGGGAAGAAAUGGUGCCCAAUCAAAGCUAUACUCGUAUCGACACUUUAGAGCUGAAAGGUCUGAUUAUCCAAAGGAUUGGGCAUCAGAGAGCUGAGAAAUACUUUGAUCUGAUCAGGAGAUUGUUUAGUUCAAAGAUUAGCAAGUGUGAAUUCGACAAGUUUUGCAAUCGGACUAUUGGGAGGGAAAAUGUCCAUCUUCAUAACCGACUUAUCAAAUCAAUUAUCAAGAAUGCCUGCCUUGCAAAAGUUCCACCCUUGACAGGUAUUAAGAAAGGGGGUAGUACCCUGAAUGUUAAAGUGGCGAAUGGCUGUCAGAAGAAUGGUUUUCAAUCAGUUAAUGCGGAUGCAUUUCCUCAAUCUCCUCGCAAGGGCAGGUCUCCAGUUAAUCGGGAACGCAAGUUCCGGGACCGCCCAAGCCCUUUGGGGCCAAAUGGAAAGCCCCAAAAUUUGGCAUCUGAGGAGUUCAUUUCUAAAGCACUGGAGCAGCAAAGCGCUAGUGAAUUGCUUUCUCUUGGAAGCAGACCUCCUGUUGAAGUUGCCUCUGUAGAAGAUGGAGAAGAGGUCGAACAGGACGCAGGAAGCCCAUCUAUUCAAAGUAGAAGCCCAGUAACAGCUCCUCUAGGUAUAAAUUUGGGUGGAUCACGUAAAGCUCUUCCUAAUGUAUCAUUGUGUAGUACUUACCACCCUGAGACCUGUCAAAACUGUGGCGAGCUACCUGAUACAAGAUCAUUAAGAAGUCGUUUGGAGCGGAAGUUGGAAUUGGAGGGCGUUAGUGUCUCUGUAGACUGUGUUAACCUCUUGAAUAAUGGAUUAGAUGCUUACCUAAAGAGAUUAAUAGAACCUUGUAUUCAGCUAGCUGGGACAAGGCAUGGCAAUGAGCACUUAAAACAACUAAGUGGCUCAUACCCGUACAAAGAUGGUUUGAAUGGGAUGUCACUUCCGAGAAAUAUGCAAAGAGAAAGAAAAUCUACUUAUGUGACUGUAUCGGAUUUUUCUACCUCAGUUGAGCUAAAUCCCCAGAUACUCGGUGCAGAUUGGGCCAUACAGCGUGAGAAGAUUGUCUUGUGUGCUUCUGAAGAGUGAAAUAAAUCAUUGCACACAUUCAGCGGUUGAUGAGAUGGCGAGACAUGAAAUUGCACCAUCAGUUAUUCAUAGUUCAGUGUUUUGGAUCAAUUUUUUAACCUUACACGGAUUUUUAGUCUCUGCCUGGAUUUCUCCUCUUCCCUCACUCGGAGCACUGAUACUUAACUGACAUAAUGGUGUGUGCAGUCCUUGACGUGAUCAAUGCCUAGGCUUAUGUGAGCAAAGUUCUUGAGAAGGCAUCUCUUUGAUUGAGGGGUCGCUUCAAUUUUCUUUUAGUGAAGAAAUGCAUAUCCAAAGGCGGUUGCAAGCCUGCUGUAAAUUAUAACAGUGAAGAGCUGCUGUCUGAACUUUGUACGUAAUGAAGUUAGCAGUUGACAAUAAAAUACAAUGUUCUGUGUAAUUCCACUUUCGUAUCGGCAAUAUAACUGUAUAGAGGCCGUCAAAAUAAAGAAAAAUGAGUGAGGAUCAGUUCAAGUUUGAAGAAAGCCUUAAAUGCAAAGUUUGUGGUGUUUCCUACAUGGACCUCGCCAGUUGAUUGAUGGAGCUGGCAAAGAGAAGGUGGGUGGCUUGGUCUGCUCAGCUAUACAAUUUGGAAGAAAUUUUGAGCGUCUGCAAUAUGAACGUUGUUGUUUUACUGUAACUUUUUUUUUGAGAUUCUUAUCUAGACACCCUGUAAUACUUCUCUUGUAUGUAAUUCUUUGGUUUAAUAAAAGUCAUAUCCAUUAACUCAAA
Molecule: RNA transcript, 2204 nt
Organism: Prunus persica (peach)
Lineage: Eukaryota; Viridiplantae; Streptophyta; Magnoliopsida; Rosales; Rosaceae
Exons: 4
Source: RefSeq, a predicted model, not a curated record